UACGUAGGGUGCAAGCGUUGUCCGGAAUUAUUGGGCGUAAAGAGCUCGUAGGCGGUCUGUCGCGUCGGCUGUGAAAUCCCGCGGCUCAACCGCGGGUCUGCAGUCGAUACGGGCAGGCUAGAGUUCGGUAGGGGAGACUGGAAUUCCUGGUGUAGCGGUGAAAUGCGCAGAUAUCAGGAGGAACACCGAUGGCGAAGGCAGGUCUCUGGGCCGAUACUGACGCUGAGGAGCGAAAGCGUGGGGAGCGAACAGG
Molecule: ribosomal RNA, 253 nt
Filed under: uncultured bacterium
Lineage: Bacteria
Description: partial 16S ribosomal RNA
Rfam family: Bacterial small subunit ribosomal RNA
Source: RNAcentral